GAUGAACGCUAGCGGCAGGCUUAAUACAUGCAAGUCGUGGGGCAGCAUGAGUAGCAAUACUUGAUGGCGACCGGCAAACGGGUGAGGAACACGUACACAACCUUCCUUCAAGCGGGGAAUAGCCCAGAGAAAUUUGGAUUAAUACCCCCAUAAUAUAUUUGAUAAGGCAUCUUAUUAAAUAUUAAAGCUUCGGCACUUGAUGAUGGGUGUGCGGCUGAUUAGAUAGUUGGCGGGGUAACGGCCCACCAAGUCUACGAUCAGUAGCUGAUGUGAGAGCAUGAUCAGCCACACGGGCACUGAGACACGGGCCCGACUCCUACGGGAGGCAGCAGUAAGGAAUAUUGGACAAUGGACGAAAGUCUGAUCCAGCCAUGCCGCGUGAAGGAUUAAGGUCCUCUGGAUUGUAAACUC
This 411-nucleotide ribosomal RNA is filed under the name uncultured bacterium. Its description in RNAcentral is "bacterial SSU rRNA". It matches the Rfam family "Bacterial small subunit ribosomal RNA", at positions 28 to 432 of the family's 1533-position model. The record is from RNAcentral.